GGACCCGCACAAGUAGUGGAGCAUGUGGUUUAAUUCGAAGAUACGCGCAGAACCUUACCAACACUUGACAUGUUUGUCGCGACUCUAAGAGAUUGGAGUUUUCGGUUCGGCCGGACAAAACACAGGUGCUGCAUGGCUGUCGUCAGCUCGUGUCGUGAGAUGUUGGGUUAAGUCCCGCAACGAGCGCAACCCUCACUUUUAGUUGCCAGCAUUAAGUUGGGCACUCUAGAGAGACUGCCCGGGUUAACCGGGAGGAAGGUGGGGAUGACGUCAAGUCCUCAUGGCCCUUAUGCCUAGGGCUACACACGUAAUACAAUGGUACAUACAAAGGGAAGCGACCCAGUGAUGGUAAGCAAAUCUCAAAAAGUGUAAUCUCAGUCCGGAUUGGAGUCUGCAACUCGACUCCAUG
This 409-nucleotide ribosomal RNA is filed under the name uncultured bacterium. Its description in RNAcentral is "bacterial SSU rRNA". It matches the Rfam family "Bacterial small subunit ribosomal RNA", at positions 917 to 1322 of the family's 1533-position model. The record is from RNAcentral.